GGGGAUGUAGCUUAGUUGGUAGAGGGUUUGCCUUCCAUGCAUAAGGCCCUGGUUUCAAUACCCAACCCCA
RNAcentral lists this transfer RNA (70 nucleotides) under Ictidomys tridecemlineatus (thirteen-lined ground squirrel). Its description in RNAcentral is "Spermophilus tridecemlineatus (thirteen-lined ground squirrel) tRNA". It matches the Rfam family "tRNA". From Rfam's summary of the family: Transfer RNA (tRNA) molecules are approximately 80 nucleotides in length. Their secondary structure includes four short double-helical elements and three loops (D, anti-codon, and T loops). The record is from Rfam by way of RNAcentral. Lineage: Eukaryota; Metazoa; Chordata; Mammalia; Rodentia; Sciuridae.